This 104-nucleotide unclassified non-coding RNA is filed under the name uncultured Glomeraceae. RNAcentral's name for it is "sequence contains ITS1". Lineage: Eukaryota; Fungi; Glomeromycota; Glomeromycetes; Glomerales; Glomeraceae. The record is from RNAcentral.
CAAAUCAUGGCGAACCUCGCGUUUCGCGAGGUCUUGCGUCCAUUUUCGUAUUUAAAACAUCCCACUCUUUAAAAAAAAAAUUAUCUAAUGAUAAAUAAAAAAGA